GUCUGUGGCCAUGCCACGCUGAACAAGCCCUGUGUCUGAUCUUGUGAAGCUAAGCAGGGUCGGGCCUGGUUAUUAUUUGGAUGGGAGACCACCUAGGAAGACCAGGUGCUGCAGGCA
RNAcentral lists this ribosomal RNA (117 nucleotides) under Pteropus alecto (black flying fox). The record is from RNAcentral. Lineage: Eukaryota; Metazoa; Chordata; Mammalia; Chiroptera; Pteropodidae.